AUUACUUGGUAGUUUAUAUAACCUAGGUAACCUAUAAAUUUUAACUACUAAAUCAUUUCUAGGUAACCUAGGAAUUUUGUUUUCCCAACAGAGGCUAAGGCAGAGAAGCAUUAUCUGUUUGGAAAGAUUAAGCUGCUGGAAAAAUUAAGGGUAGCAUCACAAAGCAGUGGUGGAGGAGGGAGACCCUUUACUGGUGGUGUUGAUAUUCUCAAAGAUCCACGAUCUAUGUACAUCAAGGAUACAAUCUCUCACUCAACGUAGAACCUCAACCAAAAGAGUGCAUCCUUUCAGUUCCAGUCCUUGAUGCUUCUUCCCUACUGGAGUGAGAGAUCAGAGAGUGUAUAUAAAAAACAUAGUUUGCAAAGGAGCUCGGCUAUUAUAUUUUAACGUGUUGUUAACAGAAAGCGAGAAACUGAGAAAAA
Molecule: long non-coding RNA, 422 nt
Filed under: Brassica napus (rape)
Lineage: Eukaryota; Viridiplantae; Streptophyta; Magnoliopsida; Brassicales; Brassicaceae
Description: long non-coding RNA (BNAP_LNC014193)
Source: RNAcentral